Molecule: long non-coding RNA, 378 nt
Organism: Nicotiana tabacum (common tobacco)
Lineage: Eukaryota; Viridiplantae; Streptophyta; Magnoliopsida; Solanales; Solanaceae
Source: RefSeq, a predicted model, not a curated record
UUCCCUCUUUCCACUUUCAUGCUAAAUCUCAGUCCCUUUCAACUUUCGACAGAAGAAGUACACGAAAUGUUUGCACAAACUCAUCUUGCUGCAAUAUUAGUCGAUAGAAAGAGUCCCAAUGAGGGUCUCAAUGCGACUCGACAUCGCCGUUGGAAUUAGAACUCGCAUCUCCGCUUCAUCCAUUUUGCUCGCUUCCUGAAACGCAACUGGACUGAGAAAUCAAGGAUGUUUCCCUCCAUGUCUUGUUGAUUAGCCUUGCCUUAUACCUUACGUGUUUUGACUACUAACCUAUUAUUUGUAUUUGUUUAUUUGCCGUGUGUGUGGGGAUUUAAGUUAAGUGUACUUAUGAUAUUUAAUUCUUGGGUUGCUUAGAGAUCA